GUCCAGUGUGUGCUCUGUGCUGCCCUGUGUGCUGUCGUCCUGUCCUGUCCUGUGUGUUGUCCUGUGUGUCGUCCUGUGUGUGCGCUGUUUGCUGUGUGCUGUGCCCUCAAGCAGCCGCAAAAGUUCGUUAAGGAUCCCACGCACACGCACACACUAACUCACACACACACACACACACGCACGCACACACGCACGAACGCACGCACAUACGCACACGCACUCCAAAAUUCCGAAGCUGUCAACAAGAAAGCAACUUUUGCAACAACAGUGAAAAUUAUUUACAAAAAAAGAAUAAAACUAAAAAGAAAAGCAAAUCAAAGAACUGUAAAAACGCUACAAAAGUGCAACAACAAGCAAAAAAAACUGUUGAAUAAUUAUGAAACAAGAUACAAAAAGAAUAAAAGGAAUUUAAAUAAAUUAACACGAGCGACGCGAACAGAGUUUUGAUUUGAGAGAUUUUUUAACUGUGCACGCAACAAAACAAAGUUUUCUUUUAUUUUCGUUUAAUUUGAAAAGUAAUUUGCAUAAUUAGUGGGUCGGCAAUAAUUAAUAGCGCGUUUCUCUUUUGUUUUCAAACUAAAAAAACAUAUUAAAUAAUUAUUUAACUCAUUCGCACAACUUUAACAACGGGCAAUUAACAGGGCAACAGAAACAGCGACAAGAACGGAAACGGAAACCAAAUCGUACUGAACUGUAAACUGACCUUCAUGUAGCACAUGUAAUUACCACACACAUGCAAACACACACACACACAUACACACAUACGCAUACACAAAAGUAUAAACAAAUGUUUGUAUAAAGCGGCAGUAAAAAAGACAGUUUAAAAUAUAAUUAAAAUGACAUUUGACUGCAGUUGAACAGCUUUGUUAAUUAUGCGCGAGAAUUCUGAACUGAAAUGCUCAAACAACAACAAACAAAAAUAAAAGCGAACGAAAAGAUAUUUGAAAAAAAUUAAACGAAACGAAAAAAAACAAAAUGGAAAAUUACGAUACAAAAAAACAAAAAAGAAAAUGUAUAGAGGAAAUUCAAUUGAAAAUCAUUUAAUCAUGAAAAUAUGUAAAUUUGAAAAUUAUUGCAAUUCCAUUUGAAGGAAGGCGCCAGCUCACUUUGAGUCAAAUGCGCAACUGACUAGAGAGAGAGAGGGAGCGAGAGAGAGAGAGAGAGAGAGGGAAUUAGAGCGAGUGGGCGACUCCUCGACUGAAGCUGAGAUGCUGCUGCCUGCUAAUUAAAAAAGCAUUGCCCAAGUGGACUCGGCGCGCAACGGCAAUAACGCAACAGGCGAUCGACGUCGCUGUCAGCGUCGACAGCUCUGCCCACUGAUAAGCUGAGCGCACUGGCACAAAAUGGCAAUGGAACGAGCGACGCUCUCUUCGGAAUACUCUCUCUAAGAGAAUGGUAAUUGGAAUGUGUGCAAGCGAGUGUCAUGGAGAGCGAGAGUUGUUUAAUUUAGGCACUUAUCAACAGUCAUAGAAAGAGAGAGAGGGCAUACAAUGUUCGGCGCGUGAAAGUGUAUUGUUCUUUUGCGUUUGCGUUUCACCUCAUUUCGUUUCAGCAGCCCGCGCGUUUCGAAUACUGAAUUCAAUUUCAAUUGAGUUUUUCAACGUUUUGUGUUUUUUUUCGUCCCUCGCUUGAGUUCAGUUGUUAUUCGUCAGCGUUGGCGUGUGCAGGGCGACGGCAGCAGUAGCGGCGGCAACAGCAACAACAGUGGCAGUGGCUGCGUUUGCUCAAGGAUAUUUUGGCGAAUUGUGGAUGUGCUGAUAAACCCUGUACACAUAUAUUAUACAUAAGAGUUGAUAUUCUUAAUCAAGCGAAGUGCCUAAGUUUCCAUAUAUAAAUUCAUAACAUAAACCGAGUUGAAAAUUCGUCGUUCACUUGUGCGUUAUCAUGGGGCGCAUAAUUGCCCUCAAUCGGGUUAAAUGAAAACAACUGGUUGACGUUGCCGCCCCACAAAUCAACAAAAAAAAAAACAACAUACGAAAAACGAAACGAAAAAAAGCAUUCUAGAAA
This is a long non-coding RNA of Drosophila sulfurigaster albostrigata, 2007 nucleotides long. RefSeq lists it as uncharacterized. The record is from RefSeq and is a predicted model, not a curated record. The transcript has 3 exons. NCBI's taxonomy places the organism in Eukaryota, Metazoa, Arthropoda, Insecta, Diptera, Drosophilidae.